AGUGAACGCUGGCGGUAGGCCUAACACAUGCAAGUCGAACGGCAGCACAGUAAGAGCUUGCUCUUACGGGUGGCGAGUGGCGGACGGGUGAGGAAUACAUCGGAAUCUACUUUUUCGUGGGGGAUAAGGAGGGAAACUUACGCUAAUACCGCAUACGACCUACGGGUGAAAGCAGGGGAUCUUCGGACCUUGCGCGGUUGAAUGAGCCGAUGUCGGAUUAGCUAGUUGGCGGGGUAAAGGCCCACCAAGGCGACGAUCCGUAGCUGGUCUGAGAGGAUGAUCAGCCACACUGGAACUGAGACACGGUCCAGACUCCUACGGGAGGCAGCAGUGGGGAAUAUUGGACAAUGGGCGCAAGCCUGAUCCAGCCAUACCGCGUGGGUGAAGAAGGCCUUCGGGUUGUAAAGCCCUUUUGUUGGGAAAGAAAAGCAGCAGGUUAAUACCCCGCUGUUCUGACGGUACCCAAAGAAUAAGCACCGGCUAACUUCGUG
This 491-nucleotide ribosomal RNA is filed under the name uncultured bacterium. RNAcentral describes it as "partial 16S ribosomal RNA". It matches the Rfam family "Bacterial small subunit ribosomal RNA", at positions 29 to 507 of the family's 1533-position model. The record is from RNAcentral.